Molecule: ribosomal RNA, 279 nt
Filed under: uncultured bacterium
Lineage: Bacteria
Description: partial 16S ribosomal RNA
Rfam family: Bacterial small subunit ribosomal RNA
Source: RNAcentral
GUGCAGCCGCCGCGGUAAUACGGAGGGGGCUAACGUUGUUCGGAAUUACUGGGCGUAAAGCGCGCGUGGGCGGAUUAGACAGUUGAGGGUGAAAUCCCGGAGCUUAACUCCGGAACUGCCUUCAAUACUACUAAUCUUGAGUUCGGAAGAGGUGAGUGGAAUUCCUAGUGUAGAGGUGAAAUUCGUAGAUAUUAGGAAGAACAUCAGUGGCGAAGGCGGCUCACUGGCUCGAUACUGACGCUGAGGUGCGAAAGCGUGGGGAGCAAACAGGAUUAGAUA